Molecule: ribosomal RNA, 343 nt
Filed under: uncultured bacterium
Lineage: Bacteria
Description: bacterial SSU rRNA
Rfam family: Bacterial small subunit ribosomal RNA
Source: RNAcentral
GAUGAACGCUAGCGGCAGGCUUAACACAUGCAAGUCGAGGGGCAGCAUGACGGAACCUUCGGGUUUUGUUGAUGGCGACCGGCGCAAGGGUGCGUAACGCGUGAGCAACUUGCCCGUUUCAGGGGGAUAACCGGUGGAAACGCCGACUAAUACCCCAUGGCAUCAUAUUGAGGCAUCUUUAUAUGAUUAAAGAAUUUCGGAAACGGAUAGGCUCGCGUGACUAUUAGCUAGAUGGCGGGGUAACGGCCCACCAUGGCGACGAUGUCGUAGGGGUUCUGAGAGGAACGGUCCCCCACACGUGGAACUGAGACACGGUCCAGACUCCGUACGGGAGCAGCAGUGA